Molecule: long non-coding RNA, 578 nt
Organism: Oncorhynchus tshawytscha (Chinook salmon)
Lineage: Eukaryota; Metazoa; Chordata; Actinopteri; Salmoniformes; Salmonidae
Source: Ensembl
CUCACCUCUCUGGGGACACUCCCCUCCUGAUGAAUCCAAUCUGUUCCAUUUCGUAUUUCUUUACUAACUCAGGAUAUGUUCAUGCUCUGAAUACACUGACCGUAUUACCAUGGUUACACUGACCGACCCAAACUCAGACUAGGUUCUACUGCGGUAUUACCAUGGUUACACUGACCGACCCCAAACCCAGACGAGGUUCUACUGAAGUAUUACCAUGGUUACACUGACCGACCCCAAACCCAGACGAGGUUCUACUGCGGUAUUACCAUGGUUACACUCCUCAAUACCAGUAACAGCCUUGUGUACAUCUUCAGGUGAUUUCUUUGUUGUUUCCAACUGUCUACAUAUUUAAAAUAAAUACCUGAACAGAAAUCAGUUAUUUGAUACAUCGAUUUGAAUGAUACAUCGACUCUGAAUGAUAAAUGUUUAAUUGUUGUAGUGAAGCGUUUAGUUUUGCUGAAAUCUUUUUCUUUCUACAUUUUGCUUCAGGUCUGUGAUUUUUAAAAAUAUUAUUUUGAUUGAUUUGUGUUAAAAUAAAUAAAACAUCUUUAAAGAGGCCCUUUGAUGCCGUGUUGCUC